Molecule: ribosomal RNA, 860 nt
Filed under: uncultured microorganism
Description: bacterial SSU rRNA
Rfam family: Bacterial small subunit ribosomal RNA
Source: RNAcentral
CGAACGGGUGAGUAAUAUAUCGGAACGUGCCCUAUCGUGGGGGAUAACGUAGCGAAAAUUACGCUAAUACCGCAUACGAUCUAAGGAUGAAAGCGGGGGAUCGCAAGACCUCGCGCUAUUGGAGCGGCCGAUAUCUGAUUAGGUAGUUGGUGAGGUAAAGGCUCACCAAGGCAACGAUCUGUAGCUGGUUUGAGAGAACGACCAGCCACACUGGAACUGAGACACGGCCCAGACUCCUACGGGAGGCAGCAGUGGGGAAUUUUGGACAAUGGAGGCAACCCUGAUCCAGCCAUGCCGCGUGCGUGAAGAAGGCCUUCGGGUUGUAAACUGCUUUUGUACGGAAAGAAACGGUUGCUAUUAAUAUCCAUGGCUCAUGACGGUACCUGAAGAAUAAGCACCGGCUAACUACGUGCCAGCAGCCGCGGUAAUACGUAGGGUGCAAGCGUUAAUCGGAAUUACUGGGCGUAAAGCGUGCGCAGGCGGUUAUGUAAGACAGAUGUGAAAUCCCCGGGCUCAACCUGGGAACUGCAUUUGAGACUGCAUGGCUAGAGUGCGUCAGAGGGGGAUGGAAUUCCACGUGUAGCAGUGAAAUGCGUAGAUAUGCGGAGGAACACCGAUGGCGAAGGCAAUCCCCUGGGACUGCACUGACGCUCAUGCACGAAAGCGUGGGGAGCAAACAGGAUUAGAUACCCUGGUAGUCCACGCCCUAAACGAUGUCUACUGGUUGUCGGGACUUCACUGACUCGGUAACGAAGCUAACGCGUGAAGUAGACCGCCUGGGGAGUACGGUCGCAAGGUUAAAACUCAAAGGAAUUGACGGGGACCCGCACAAGCGGUGGAUGAUGUGGAUUAAUUCGAUG